RNAcentral lists this ribosomal RNA (459 nucleotides) under uncultured bacterium. RNAcentral's name for it is "partial 16S ribosomal RNA". It matches the Rfam family "Bacterial small subunit ribosomal RNA", at positions 338 to 795 of the family's 1533-position model. The record is from RNAcentral.
CCUACGGGAGACAGCAGUGAGGAAUAUUGGUCAAUGGGCGGAAGCCUGAACCAGCCAAGUAGCGUGCAGGAUGACGGCCCUACGGGUUGUAAACUGCUUUUAUUCGGGAAUAACGCGCCUUACGUGUAGGGCUUUGCAUGUAUCGCAUGAAUAAGGACAGGCUCACACUGUGCCACCACCCUCGGUAAUACAGAGGAUGCGAGCGUUAUCCGGAUUUUUUGGGUUUAAAGGGUGCGCAGGCGGAAGUUCAAGUCAGCGGUAAAAUUGGGAGGCUCAACCUCUUCGAGCCGUUGAAACUGGUUUUCUUGAGUGAGUGAGAAGUAUGCGGAAUGCGUGGUGUAGCGGUGAAAUGCAUAGAUAUCACGCAGAACUCCGAUGGCGAAGGCAGCAUACCGGCGCGCAACUGACGCUCAUGCACGAAAGUGUGGGUAUCGAACAGGAUUAGAUACCCGAGUAGUC